Molecule: ribosomal RNA, 503 nt
Filed under: uncultured bacterium
Lineage: Bacteria
Description: bacterial SSU rRNA
Rfam family: Bacterial small subunit ribosomal RNA
Source: RNAcentral
GACGAACGCUGGCGGCGUGGAUUAGGCAUGCAAGUCGAACGGUAUCAUCCUUUCGGGGGUGAGAGAGUGGCGAACUGGUGAGUAACACGUAGGUUAUCUACCCUCAAGACGGGGACAACCCAGGGAAACUUGGGCUAAUACCGGAUGUGAGCAACUUUUAGUUGUUUGAAAGGUGGCGUAAGCUGUCGCUUGGGGAUGAGCCUGCGUCCUAUUAGUUAGUUGGUGAGGUAACGGCUCACCUAGGCAAUGAUAGGUAGGCGGCCUUAACGGGUGGUCGCCCACACUGGGAUUGAGAUACGGCCCAGACUCCUACGGGAGGCAGCAGUCGAGAAUAGUCUACAAUGGUCGGAAGACUGAUAGUGCGACGCCGCGUGAACGAUGAAUCCCUUCGGGGUGUAAAGUUCUUUUAUAUGUGAGCAGUGCUUCUUAUAUUAACAGUAUGGGGAGAGAGAUAUUAGCAUAUGAAUAAGCAACGGCUAACUCCGUGCCAGCAGCCGACGGGU